RNAcentral lists this long non-coding RNA (1403 nucleotides) under Macaca mulatta (Rhesus monkey). Its description in RNAcentral is "lncRNA (ENSMMUG00000051495.1)". Lineage: Eukaryota; Metazoa; Chordata; Mammalia; Primates; Cercopithecidae. The record is from RNAcentral.
CAAAACUGAAAAUGUUUCAAAUGUCCAUCAAUAGGUAUAUGGAUAAACAAAUUGUAAUAUAUUGAUUCAAUGCACUACUGCUUAAAAACUAAAAGAAAUAACUGUUCAUGGAUAUAACAAUGUGGAUGAAUCUCAAAAUUAUUAUGUUAAGUUAAAGUAACCAGAUAAAAAACAGUACACACUGCAUGACAACAUUUACAUAGAAAAUGUAAACUAUCUAUAGUGACAGAAGUAUAAUUGUUGUAGAGAAAAAUUGGUGGUGGGAGUUUGGCCAAAAUGUUCCCUUAUUGAUUGUAGUAAUGAAUUCAUAGUUGCAUAUUUAUGUCAAAACUCAUGAAAUUAUAUACCUUAAAUAUGUUAAGUUUCCUGUACAUCAGUUCUACUUCCAUACAUUUGUAAAAAAAAAAAAAAAAAAAAAAAAAAAAAAAAAAAAAAAUCUUUAGAAAAAUUUUGCCCAUGUUUUACUGCCUCCUUGUGAUGUAAAGUAGAAGUUAAGACUAAAACUAGUAAAACUGGUAGUGCAUGUAUAUAAAGCAGAAAACCGGAUGGAGGUUUUUCCCUUUCUUUUCUAAGAUAUAAAAAUGGCUCUUGAAGAGGCUAGUUCAGGGCUAGAGCGUUGGAGUAGAAUAGGAGGGAAUUAUAUGAUUUAAAAUAGCUCUCUAAGGAUGCACUGACAGUCCAUUUUUUGCAGAGAAAACUGGAACAGUGCAUCGUGAGAAGACUAGGAAGAGAAGUGAGUGGGAAUCCAAAAGAUAUUCAGGCAGACAUCUGGAUCAGACAGACUUAUUCAACUGGCCAACUGAAAUUAAGAAUCCAAUGCUCCAAAUGGACUAACCAGGCUCAGCCUCCUGAAAGUGAAGUCGGCUGGUCCACAUUUUCCAUGGAACUAUACAAAGCCCACAGUCAGUUCUUCAUCUAGAACAGCACUCCGACUACUUCAGCUGCAUUUAGCCAUAGCAAAAGUCCAAAGAGAGUAAAAAUUGUCUUUGCAUUAUUUAUAUGUUUGUACUCCACUAUUUUAGUUUGUUUAAACUAAAUCAUUCAUAAAAUAAUCUGAUACCAGUUACUUAUACUUUAUAUCUAACUGUCAAUAAAUGACCCUUUAUAAAAUAAAUUCUGUAAAUAAAAAUGGGCUUUUUGAUGGAAGGAUCUUCCUAGUUUCUCUAAAAUCAGUGUUUUCUACAUUUUUCCUACAGUGUGAAAAGACAAAAUUAAAACAAAUUUAAUGUAAAGUUCUGAUCAGCUUAUACUGGUGAUUCUAGAAUAAGGCAACAUCCCGUUCUAUAAAGGAUAAUGGGUGAUCUGAUAGGCUGAGUGGAGGUGGUAGGCUUUAUAGGCAGAAAAUAACUGAAGACAGCAGAAACAGGAAACACCAAGAGGACUGGUUGUUUCAGAGUUACUUU